GACGAACGCUGGCGGCGUGCUUAACACAUGCAAGUCGAACGGAAAGGCCCUGCUUUUGUGGGGUGCUCGAGUGGCGAACGGGUGAGUAACACGUGAGUAACCUGCCCUUGACUUUGGGAUAACUUCAGGAAACUGGGGCUAAUACCGGAUAGGAGCUCCUGCUGCAUGGUGGGGGUUGGAAAGUUUCGGCGGUUGGGGAUGGACUCGCGGCUUAUCAGCUUGUUGGUGGGGUAGUGGCUUACCAAGGCUUUGACGGGUAGCCGGCCUGAGAGGGUGACCGGCCACAUUGGGACUGCGGUACGGCCCAGACUCCUACGGGAGGCAGCAGUGGGGAAUAUUGCACAAUGGGCGGAAGCCUGAUGCAGCAACGCCGCGUGCGGGAUGACGGCCUUCGGGUUGUAAACCGCUUUCGCCUGUGACGAGGCGUGAGUGACGGUAAUGGGUAAAGAAGCACCGGCUAACUACGUG
This 468-nucleotide ribosomal RNA is filed under the name uncultured bacterium. RNAcentral describes it as "partial 16S ribosomal RNA". It matches the Rfam family "Bacterial small subunit ribosomal RNA", at positions 28 to 507 of the family's 1533-position model. The record is from RNAcentral.